AAUUUACAUCAAGAACGCAGCAAUGCGUGCCAACCGAGCUUUAGGAAUAGAGCAUUCCAAAGAGCCACGGUGGCGAGCGAAAGCAGAUGUGGGCAUACGCCAAAAAAACUCAUUAUA
Molecule: non-coding RNA, 117 nt
Filed under: Prevotella sp.
Lineage: Bacteria; Pseudomonadati; Bacteroidota; Bacteroidia; Bacteroidales; Prevotellaceae
Also listed under: 1 other name
Description: SAM-I-IV sequence
Rfam family: SAM-I/IV (S-adenosyl methionine) riboswitch aptamer
About the family: It is found upstream of a number of genes which code for proteins involved in methionine or cysteine biosynthesis. It has been found mostly in the order Actinomycetales.
Source: RNAcentral